GCGGCCAUGGUGUAGUGGUUAGCAUUAAUGCCUUCCAAGCAUUAGAGUCGGGUUCGAUUCCCGAUGGCCGCA
Podospora anserina is the source of this 72-nucleotide transfer RNA. It matches the Rfam family "tRNA". Rfam says of the family: Transfer RNA (tRNA) molecules are approximately 80 nucleotides in length. Their secondary structure includes four short double-helical elements and three loops (D, anti-codon, and T loops). Further hydrogen bonds mediate the characteristic L-shaped molecular structure. tRNAs have two regions of fundamental functional importance: the anti-codon, which is responsible for specific mRNA codon recognition, and the 3' end, to which the tRNAs corresponding amino acid is attached (by aminoacyl-tRNA synthetases). tRNAs cope with the degeneracy of the genetic code in two manners: having more than one tRNA (with a specific anti-codon) for a particular amino acid; and 'wobble' base-pairing, i.e. permitting non-standard base-pairing at the 3rd anti-codon position. Lineage: Eukaryota; Fungi; Ascomycota; Sordariomycetes; Sordariales; Podosporaceae. The record is from Rfam.